AGUGAACGCUGGCGGUAGGCCUAACACAUGCAAGUCGAACGGCAGCACAGUAAGAGCUUGCUCUUACGGGUGGCGAGUGGCGGACGGGUGAGGAAUACAUCGGAAUCUACUUUUUCGUGGGGGAGAACGUAGGGAAACUUACGCUAAUACCGCAUACGACCUACGGGUGAAAGCAGGGGAUCUUCGGACCUUGCGCGAUUGAAUGAGGCGAUGUCGGAUUAGCUAGUUGGCGGGGUAAAGGCCCACCAAGGCGACGAUCCGUAGCUGGUCUGAGAGGAUGAUCAGCCACACUGGAACUGAGACACGGUCCAGACUCCUACGGGAGGCAGCAGUGGGGAAUAUUGGACAAUGGGCGCAAGCCUGAUCCAGCCAUACCGCGUGGGUGAAGAAGGCCUUCGGGUUGUAAAGCCCUUUUGUUGGGAAAGAAAAGCAGCAGGUUAAUACCCCGCUGUUCUGACGGUACCCAAAGAAUAAGCACCGGCUAACUUCGUG
This 492-nucleotide ribosomal RNA is filed under the name uncultured bacterium. Its description in RNAcentral is "partial 16S ribosomal RNA". It matches the Rfam family "Bacterial small subunit ribosomal RNA", at positions 29 to 507 of the family's 1533-position model. The record is from RNAcentral.